GGGAAGGGUAAGUCGAUCUCUAAGGCGAGGCCGAAAGGCGUAGAAGGUGGGAAAAUGGUUAAUAUUCCAGUAACAAUGAGUAAUGAGAUGUGAGGGCGGAGAAGUAUAAAUAAGCCUGGAGUAGGUAGUGAAGGCGAAAGGAAGAAGGCAUGAAUCUUAGGCAAAUCCGGGGUACUCUAUGCUGAGAUCUGAUAGCAAGCUGUACUUGUACAGCGAAGUGGUUGAUGCCAUGCUUCCAGGAAAAGUCUCUAAGCUUCAGUUACACAGGAAUCGUACCCGAAACCGACACAGGUGGUCAGGUCGAGUAGACCAAGGCGCUUGAGAGAACUCUGCUGAAGGAACUAGGCAAAAUGGUACCGUAACUUCGGGAGAAGGUACGCUGUUGUUGGUGAUGGAACUUGCUUCCUGAGCUGACGACAGCCGCAGAAACCAGGCCGCUGCAACUGUUUAUUAAAAACAUAGCACUCUGCAAACACGAAAGUGGACGUAUAGGGUGUGAUGCCUGCCCGGUGCUGGAAGGUUAAUUGAUGGGGUUAGCGUAAGCGAAGCUCUUGAUCGAAGCCCCAGUAAACGGCGGCCGUAACUAUAACGGUCC
Molecule: ribosomal RNA, 595 nt
Filed under: Staphylococcus aureus
Lineage: Bacteria; Bacillati; Bacillota; Bacilli; Caryophanales; Staphylococcaceae
Description: partial 23S ribosomal RNA
Rfam family: Bacterial large subunit ribosomal RNA
Source: RNAcentral